Molecule: ribosomal RNA, 468 nt
Filed under: uncultured bacterium
Lineage: Bacteria
Description: partial 16S ribosomal RNA
Rfam family: Bacterial small subunit ribosomal RNA
Source: RNAcentral
GACGAACGCUGGCGGCGUGCUUAAUACAUGCAAGUCGAACGGAAAGGCCCUGCUUUUGUCGGGUGCUCGAGUGGCGAACGGGUGAGUAACACGUGAGUAACCUGCUCUUGACUUUGGGGUAACUUCAGGAAACUGGGGCUAAUACCGGAUAGGAGCUCCUGCUGCAUGGUGGCGGAUGGAAAGAUUCGGCGGUUGGGGAUGGACGGGCGGCUUAUCAGCUUGUUGGUGAGGUAGUGGCUUACAAAGCCUGCGACGGCUAGGCGGCCUGAGAGGGUGAACGGGCACAAUGGGCCUGAGAUACGGUGCAGACGGCUACGGGCGGCAGCAGGGGAGAACAUUGCACAACAGGCGGACGCGUGAUGCAGAAACGCCGCGUGCGUGAAGACGGCUUUCGGGGGGAAAACCGCUUGCACCGGUGAUGAAGCGAGAGUGACGGUAACGGAUAAAGAAGCACCGGCUAAAUACGUG